Small nuclear RNA from Grammomys surdaster, 142 nucleotides. RefSeq annotates it as U4 spliceosomal RNA. Lineage: Eukaryota; Metazoa; Chordata; Mammalia; Rodentia; Muridae. The record is from RefSeq and is a predicted model, not a curated record. The transcript has a single exon.
AGCUUUGUGCAGAUGCCAAUAUCAUAGCCAAUGAAGUUUAACCGAGGCAUGAUUAUUGCUGAUCAUGACUAUUGCUAGAAAAGAAGAGGAAAAGAAUACCAUCUACUUCUGACACUUUGGUUUUCUGGGAGUGCCUAUGGCU